RNAcentral lists this ribosomal RNA (488 nucleotides) under uncultured bacterium. RNAcentral's name for it is "partial 16S ribosomal RNA". It matches the Rfam family "Bacterial small subunit ribosomal RNA", at positions 28 to 507 of the family's 1533-position model. The record is from RNAcentral.
GACGAACGCUGGCGGCGUGCCUAACACAUGCAAGUCGAACGGAACGGCCCUGGUUUUGUGGGGUGCUCGAGUGGCGAACGGGUGAGUAACACUUGCGUAACCUGCCCCUGACUUUGGGAUAACUUUAGGAAACUGGGGCGAAUACUGGAUAGGAGCUCCUGCUGCAUGGUGGGGGUUGGAAAGUUUCGGCGGGCGGGGGCUGACGCGCGGCUUAUGAGCUUGUUGGUGGGGUAAUGGCCUACGAAGGCGUUGACGGGUAGCCGGCGGGUGAGGGUGGUCGGCGACAUGGGAGCGUAGCCAGGGACAAUGGGACUGCGGUAGGGACCAGUAGCCUACGGGAGGCAGCAGUGGGGAAUAUGGCAGAAUGAGCGGGAGCCUGAGGCGGCGGUGCCGGGUGCGUAAAGACCGCCUGUGGGUGGUAAACCGCUUACGGCGGAAACGUAGCGCGAGUGACGGUAAUGGGUAAAGAAGCACCGGCUAACUACGUG